AAAAAAAAAAAUAAUUCUGAGUUGUUAGGGAUUUUCUUUAUUUUGAUUCUUUAUUCAAAAAAAAAAAAAAAAAAAAAAAAAAAAUCUGUUAACAUUUUGCAACUUGUCAUUUUAGGGCACAUAAAAAUUUAUAUUUCUUGGUUAAUUUAUCUUAAUGCAACAUUGAAUAUGGUUCACCAUUACUGCUUUUCAGUCAUUUAUGAAAACAGGAGAAGAAACAAAGAACUUAACCCCACAUAUGUAUGGCCAAAUUAAAUGUAUAACUACAAAAUGAAGUUACACAAAAAAUUGUUGCAGUCAAAUACAGUAUUGUCAAGAACAAGUUUUAUUUUUGGCAAUAUUAGUGUAUAAUAUUUUAGGAUCACAUUAUUUUUAAAAAUAUAAGAAUUACAGUGAUGAAAAAGCGAUUCAGCUUUUGACAACAAGGUGAAGAAAACUGCAAUAGGAUAUAGACAGUAACAAAAUAGGAACAGUUGGCAGGUAGUAAUUACUUCGUUGUUACCUUCUUACAACAACAGGAAAAAGUGCAACAUCAUGACUUGUUCAGUUCAGGACUGAAUUUUCAAACAUGUAGAAUGCUUGUGGCCAUAUAUGACAUAAGGUCUCAGAUUAAAAAGGGAAAUUACUUUUUAAUCUUAUUAUUCCAUUCACUCUUAUGCAUAAACAUAGAUCAUGCUAAGAGCUUGGCAGUCCUAAUUUGUUAAUUUAAUUAUUACGCUUCUGCAAUGCUUCUCAAUAGUAAGAGAUACUCAAAUAUUUCACCAAGCUAGAAUGAUUCUAUUGAUCUCAGAGGAGCUAUUGUAUUGUAUAAUUAAUACCAGUGUAAUCAAACUAAGAGUUUAUUUUGUAUGUCAUUAGAGCCCAUUCCUACUCUACGUGCUAUAAAGGGACAUGAGUGCUUACAAAACUGUAGAAACCAGAUCUGUAAAACAGCUUUGUCAGGUUUUACUCAUCUAUUUGCUUGGUACUACAGUUAAGCACCCAUAAUAAUGUUUUUUAUAGCUAAGUACACUCUUUCCUGUGAUAAAUAAGGAACCCUGCAGGGACUCAAAAUAUAUGAAAUUACAAAAUAAUUACUUUAAAAAUGUAAUUUUUUCAACAGUAAAUUAUACUGAGUGGUGAAGUGCCAUGGGUAUAUUGUAUCUGAAAAACACGUUGCCUCAGACAAUUUUAAACUGAUUUCGUUCUUUUUUAUUUCUGUACCUACAAAAAUAUUUCAUACCACUUUAUUUCAGUUACAUGUUCUCCAUUUUGUUUCAUAGCUUAUUCUUUAGCAAAGGCAAGCAGCCCUCAGUACUAGCUCUUUAGAGUGCCAUCAUUUUCUAGGCAUUCAUUCUCGAGGUUAGCAUUUAUUAGUCCUAAUGUUCCAUAUCUUUCCUCCUACUCCCUUGUACAUACCUUUUUCAAUCUAUCUGCAAAGCAUUUUUGUUCUGUACUUUCAGAUCCCUACUGUAAAUUUUCUGAUGCACGUAAAUAAUUUACUAAAUUGUCACCCGUAGGUAUAAAUUUUAAGUCCAUUUGCAUGUCUGAGUUAACACACCUUUGUACUCUUUCUUCCACUCUGAAAACUGUCUGUUAUUAGAUUGACAGUUUCUUGGGGUCUUUUGCAGCCUAGUAUGUCAGUAAUUCUUAAAAAAGAUAAUUAUUUCAGAAGUUUAUGUGGUGAAGUGUUGAAAGAUUUUCUAUUUCCACCAUGAUUUGUAAAAAAGGCAAGCAAGGAACCACUUUCUCUUGAUUUUCAGUGUUCAUUUAACAACGAAGCAUUACUUACAAGCAAUGGCCAGGAAACACACUCAGAUAUGUGCUCCUAAUUUGUUGAGGUUUCCAAAACUAAGCUCUUCAGAAUUGUACUCCAAGUCUUGUUUUGAUCUUUUUUUUCCACUAUCUGGAAGGCAAAACUUAGAGAGAGUGGUAUUGAUUUUUAUCAGUUAGUAAAAAAAGGCAAGCUUUUGGGCACACAAGCCUGGAUCUUAAAUGCAAGCAGCCCAGC
Strigops habroptila (Kakapo) is the source of this 1990-nucleotide long non-coding RNA. The record is from Ensembl. Lineage: Eukaryota; Metazoa; Chordata; Aves; Psittaciformes; Psittacidae.